Long non-coding RNA from Helianthus annuus (common sunflower), 1268 nucleotides. RefSeq lists it as uncharacterized. The record is from RefSeq and is a predicted model, not a curated record. The transcript is spliced from 3 exons. Lineage: Eukaryota; Viridiplantae; Streptophyta; Magnoliopsida; Asterales; Asteraceae.
UUCUUCCUAACAUUUUCAACCCUAGAAAUUUCCCUCCCAACCCAAUCCAAAAAUUUGAGCUCCCCCCAAAAUUUUCUAAAAGCAAACAAAUCCACAACCCUAGCUCUCAUCCCACAAGUUUGCAAAAUCACCGUUUCAAUUUUCUAAUCAAAUCACCCCCAAAAUGGAUCACCAAAUACUACUCGCACCAAAAGCACAAUGACGGAUCUGAAACCGAACGUCCAACCAUCAUCUUCUCUAUCUUCACAUGAUGCUGUAGUUCAAUCGUUCUCCAUUUAAAAUCAAUUCCAGUAAAAGAAUAAUCGACGGUGUUGAAUAAUGGUUCUGAUUCGAAGGUUUCGACAUCAAUACGGCUUCGAGCGACCUGAGGCGCCACAUUCACUAUGAAAUAGUCACCUUCAAUCGUACACUUCUUCUUCUUCUUCUUCUUCGUCUUCUUCUUCUUCUAUAUUUCGAUCUUCCCAGCUAGUGAAGCUGGCAAAGAACUCUGUCAUGAAAAGACGCUGAAUUUUGAAGAUUUUAGGGAGCUGAAUUUGAAGCCAAAUUCGGGAAGCUUGUUGAACUCGGGUUCAGCAGAGAUGCAGUUAUACAAGCUCUAAAGCUUUUUGAUGGUAAUGUAGAACAAGCGGCUGGAUAUCUUCUGCUACAUUAGUAACAACAUGUGAAUCUACUAUUUUUGUUUUGGUUUUUUCUUGUGAUGCAUUUUUUAUUUAUUUGCCAACUAGUUUAUUAUGGGUACUAUUGAUUCUUGGUCUAUCCUACAGGUUGAUCCAAAAUUUGAUUUGGAUAUGAAUUAAGAUGAUGCGGAAGACGAGUGUUGCAACUAUAGACGGGUCAAGCAUAUAUAUGUUGACAAGUAUGUGUUCAAGCCCUUUAUCUCGGUCUACUAGGAUGAACAUCUGUUAGAUGUGCAAAUUACCAUAGCAUGGGGUCUACAAGUAGCAUGAAUAAAACACUUGGGAGGAUUAUACAACAAUAAAACCGGUCACAAGUUACAAGUUUACUCCUCACCACAACAGCGGUAAUGUGGCCAUGAAACCAUGGAUGCAAAUUUGCAGCACUUUUGGGUCUAAAACAGUGAGUAGAUGGACUUGAAGAAAACAAUCUGGAAAUAGUUUCUAGUUUAUAUGUAAAGUCAUUUUUCGGUGUAACAUUUGUAGAUAGGUUCUGAUUAGAAGUUAAUGUUUUUAAUUAGUAUUAGUAUUUAAAUUGAAAACUUAUGUAUGGAUUGGGUUAUUAUUGUUAAUAUCAUUUGGUUUUUAGUUUUC